ACCGACUAGCACUUCUCAGCAGUCUAUUUUGGCCCUUUUUUAGUGUGCCAGGUAAGGGUGUGCAGCCCUUUAUUCUCAUUGCCUACUGGUCCACUGCUUUCAUUGGUACACGUGGAGGCAGAUGUCAGCUGUUCUUACACUAAAUUGCACCAUCUUUUGCAGUUAGUCUGCCAGUGAAUUUUCAUGCUAUAGCUAAUGGUACAGCAGCUAUUGACAGCUACUGCCAGAAAGCAUGAUCUUGCUCUGCUUUUCUCCUCUCCUCGAGCAGUUACCAAAUCUGAGUCAUGCCUCAAUGUGACUUGAUGCACCAGGCUGACCAAUGGGAAGCUGUACUUUUUUUUUUUCCUCAGGGUUAGUUUUCCACUGGAUCAACCAGUUGAACUGACUCACAUUGCAACUACACUGUCAUUAGGUAUGAUAAACAGGAAGCAGAGGGAGCAAGUGGCUACAGACUGACACGGGUACAAGACUUCCUUCACCCCUUCAGCUGCAUCAUCUUAGCAGCAAUGUCAAAUGGAAAUGACUGUGGUAUGGACUGUUCAUCAAGGCAGUUACUGCUCUGUGUGAACAGAAGGCUUUUAAUGUAUUUGGUUGUCUGUUAGUGUCUAAUUAAUCAGGUUUGGUUUUGCCAUUCUAUAAAUGAAUUUGUAUUGUCAGGGAAGGUCUUAAAAAGUAAUUUACCUGAUACCAUUUAAGGAUGGAAGAUUCAGAUGUUUAUGUUAUAAAACAUCUUCAGAUGCCAAAGUGAUAGCUCUGAUUUAUAGCUUUGCUAUUGGGUUAUGCGGUGCUAGAGUAGUGGAUAUGCUCUUUUGGUCAAAUGAGAAUAAAAAAACACAGUUCAGAGUAAGGAUGGUGGUUCUCAGUGAGUUGCAGCAUUGCCCUUGCAGCACUGGGCAGGUUCCAAGCAUUAACCAGGUUCAGUCUGACUAGUGCAACAUCCCUUGCUGUUUCAGCUGCAUAUUGCUUUUUAACUUCCUAUUCCAAAAUAGAGGUGAAUGUUGCUAUCAGCAUCUAAACAUUAAUUGCUUCCUUUCCCAGCAGCAAGUGCAAUUCACUGGCAGGCCUCGAAGUGUGGAACUCACCCCUGAGACUGAUAGCGCCUCGUUUUUGUGUUAUUUAGGAACAAGAGUCAGCAACCUUAACACCAUCUUAAUGCAAUUUUGUGUGUGUGUGCUGGAAUUUCCCUUGGCUUUUUGGAAUGCUAAGUGAAGUGAACACAUGGACCCAGCCGAAGUGCAGUUGAAGAAAGACUUUUAUUUAAGUAAAUACUGUCAAUUGUAAGUGUUUACAUUUUUACUCAUGAAAUGAAUAAAACAUUUAUAUGCCAAAUGCA
Molecule: long non-coding RNA, 1333 nt
Filed under: Struthio camelus australis
Lineage: Eukaryota; Metazoa; Chordata; Aves; Struthioniformes; Struthionidae
Description: lncRNA (ENSSCUG00000010801.1)
Source: RNAcentral